Molecule: ribosomal RNA, 581 nt
Filed under: Micrococcaceae bacterium
Lineage: Bacteria; Bacillati; Actinomycetota; Actinomycetes; Micrococcales; Micrococcaceae
Description: bacterial SSU rRNA
Rfam family: Bacterial small subunit ribosomal RNA
Source: RNAcentral
GAUGGCUCACCUUAGCGACGACGGGUAGCCGGCCUGAGAGGGUGACCGGCCACACUGGGACUGAGACACGGCCCAGACUCCUACGGGAGGCAGCAGUGGGGAAUAUUGCACAAUGGGCGCAAGCCUGAUGCAGCGACGCCGCGUGAGGGAUGACGGCCUUCGGGUUGUAAACCUCUUUCAGUAGGGAAGAAGCGAAAGUGACGGUACCUGCAGAAGAAGCGCCGGCUAACUACGUGCCAGCAGCCGCGGUAAUACGUAGGGCGCAAGCGUUAUCCGGAAUUAUUGGGCGUAAAGAGCUCGUACGCGGUUUGUCGCGUCUGCCGUGAAAGUCCGGGGCUCAACUCCGGAUCUGCGGUGGGUACGGGCAGACUAGAGUGAUGUAGGGGAGACUGGAAUUCCUGGUGUAGCGGUGAAAUGCGCAGAUAUCAGGAGGAACACCGAUGGCGAAGGCAGGUCUCUGGGCAUUAACUGACGCUGAGGAGCGAAAGCAUGGGGAGCGAACACGAUUAGAUACCCUGGUAGUCCAUGCCGUAGACGUUGGGCACUAGGUGUGGGGGACAUUCCACGUGUUCCGCGCCGUA